RNAcentral lists this ribosomal RNA (336 nucleotides) under Triticum aestivum (bread wheat). Its description in RNAcentral is "partial small subunit ribosomal RNA". The record is from RNAcentral. Lineage: Eukaryota; Viridiplantae; Streptophyta; Magnoliopsida; Poales; Poaceae.
AUGAACCGACUCGGGGAGAGGGAGAGAGGGUCUUCUUCUUCCUCCCCUCCGACUCCGACUCCGACUCCUCCCCCAAAUUCGGCCGGACUCAAUCCAAUCCAUCGAUCCCGCCGCCCCGUCCCAGUACCCUCCUCUUCCCCGACCAACCAAUCCGUGUCCAACGCGUGCCCCAGACCUGCCGCCGACGCCUCGGCGCCCCCGCCUCUCGCCGCGCUCCCCGACCCCUUGAGUUCCUCGUCGCGCCCCCGGCUGGGUUUUGAGGUACGCGCUUGGGUUCAUCCACCCGCCCGCCGGCCUCCGCGAUUUCUGGGUUCGCCUUGCCGGCGCGCCGCCUAG